RNAcentral lists this RNase P RNA (348 nucleotides) under Candidatus Gorgyraea atricola. RNAcentral describes it as "RNase P RNA component class A". It matches the Rfam family "Bacterial RNase P class A". Rfam says of the family: Ribonuclease P (RNase P) is a ubiquitous endoribonuclease, found in archaea, bacteria and eukarya as well as chloroplasts and mitochondria. Its best characterised activity is the generation of mature 5'-ends of tRNAs by cleaving the 5'-leader elements of precursor-tRNAs. Cellular RNase Ps are ribonucleoproteins. The record is from RNAcentral. Lineage: Bacteria; Pseudomonadati; Candidatus Omnitrophota.
GGUGCAGGCUGGAUGGUCGUCCGCCAAGAUUUUUGGUGGAAGGAAAGUCCGGGCUCCACAGGGUAAGCGUAGCGGGUAACGCCCGUCAUCCUGUAUCUUCUGAUGCAGGGUCGGACCAGAGCCACAGAGACGAGUCUGAGAAGCGAUAGCAUGCUGCUUCUCAGGGUGAAACGCGGUAAUCUCUACGCGGAGCAAAACCAAAUAGGUCUCGCUAAUAAGAGCGGCCCGUUCGUAAGGGCGAGACGGGUAGGUUGCAUGAUCCUGGCAGCAAUGCCAGGGCUAGAUAGAUGAUCAUCGUCUCCGCCUCAGGCGGAGAAACAGAACCCGGCUUACAGGCCUGCAUCUUUU